AAAAGUUUUUAAUGAUUGGCCAAUUCUAUUCUCCAAGAUCCCCAAGUAAAUGGAUUCUUUUUUUUUUUUUUUUUUUUGAGACAGAGUCUUGCAUUGUCACCCAGGCUGGAGUGCAGUGGCACGAUCUUGGGUCACUGCAACCUCUGCCUCCCAGGUUCAAGCAAUUCUCCUGCUUCAACCUCCCGAGUAGCUGGGAUUACAGGCACGUGCCACCACACCUGGCUAAUUUUGGUAUUUUUAGUAGAGGCGGGGUUUCACCAUGUUGGCCAGGCUGGUCUCAAACUCCUGAUCUCAAGUGAUCUGCCUGCCUUGGCCUCCCGAAGUGUUGGAAUUACAGGCAUGAGCCACCGUGCCCAGCCAGUCAAUGGAUUCUUGAGGAGUCCCUUUGCUUUCUCCUUGGGCUGCCCCAUGAGGGGUAUGUUCUCUAGUCAGGGAUGCCCAGGCCAGCCUAGCAUACUGGGGGGAGGUUCAUUUCUAACUUUGAACAAUGGCUAAGGCCACAGGACCCUGGGCAAGUUUGCAAAGGCAGAGCGUCAUUCAGAGAGAUCUGGGGAAGUGACAUUGUGGUUGCAGUGUGUGCAAAGGCCCCGGGGUAGGAAAGGCUGGGCAUGUCGGAGGGGCACAGGGCUGGAGUGCUGAGACCGAGGGGGUGGGGCAUGGAGGAGGUGAGGUCAGGGAGAUAGGGAGGGCCUGCAGACCUUGGCAUUCGGACUAAAGAGUCCGUUGCAGAACGAGCAAGCAUUAUUAAAGUUAGCCCUCUACACUGAACCAUGUUCGAGGGCCCCUUUCACUCCUUCUCUUCUACCCCGCCUCACCGACCCUUUCCCACCUGUUCUCAUUUCUGCGUCUAUGUCCGAGGAGGCUCAGGUGCAACCCUUUCCAUUGGAACCAACCCACUCCCAUGCCCAGUGGUUCUGCAUGACUUUAUUGACAUAACCACACUAGUAAAUAAAGGAGAGAAGAAGCCAGUCCUUGGAUGAAGUUUCCUCUUGCUUUUCCAGCGAAUGAUACGAUGGGUCUCUGUUCAGCCCUGUAGCCUGGGGUGCUUUUGGCAGAGGUGCCUUUUCCUUCGACAGUCCUGGAAAGCAGGCUGCAUAAACCAGCUGCCUAGAACUGGGAGGUGAGUGCGGAGGAAGAAUAGGUAGAGAAAACUUAACUGGCUCAUGUUCUUCGAAGCUGCCACAUUUCCCGAAUAUGCCCACUUGGGUCAGAUUUCGAAGGCGAAGCCUUUUGCAGUCAUGAACUGCGGGAGCCCAGGCUGUGUUCAAAUUCCUCCGGAAGAAAGAAAGAAUAAACGAGAACAGGCUGUGGAAAAGAAUGUAGUUAGUGUCUUAAAGAUGGCCAAAUAUUCAUUCUCAUUUGUCCUUUUAUAUGAAACAGAUUUUUAAAAAGGCAAUUGGAGUAGCUAAUGACAUCCAGAACCCCGUUGAUUCGAGUGGGGCUGGGGGUGGGGGCUUAAAUUGGCCCAAACAGCUAAUCAGGCCGAAAGAAAGAGGUGAGUUGAUUACCCUGGAAAUUGCACAGGAAUUCUUCAAAGAUGUGGCCAAUAAUUAGAGUUUAAGAUGCUACUCUUUAUGCACAUAACUUAGCAUAAUUUUAUUAGGCAGCUCAUCACCAACAGAAUUAGUGAAAAUCAGGCCAGAAAAAAUCUGAGAGCCAGGCUUAUGCAGACGUGGAGGCUUUUGCUCUAAAAUGGUCUGCUCACGCUUGGGGAAGACCCCAAGAGAAAGCACUACCUUUCUUCUGGGCCCUGAGCGGGUUGGGAGUGGAAAUGAAUCAGAGCCAUUUCAGGGGGCUGUGCUGGAGUUGGGGACAAUGUGGCCUGGACCUAGCUGGGACGGACACAGACUUGGUUUGAACACCAGUUUCCCCACUUACUGGUGAGUGAGAUGGGGCCAAUUCCUUAAAUUCUGACCUCCCAUUCCUUGCCUGUUUUUGGGAGCAGGAACCCCAUUUGUGAGGAUCAGCCAUGAGGCUGAUGGCAUUGGAAGCAGUGCAGAUAUAGAAACAGUAGCUGUCAUUAUCACUCGAGGCUGCUGCUGAUGGAGGGAGGCCUGGUCUCCACCAAGCUCAAAAGCCCUUCAUCAGAAUGGGUUUAUGCUACUGUUUCCCCCAAACACUGCAGUCACCUGGCUGGCUAGAGUUCUUAGAAGAUUUCAAAGUUUGGGGGCAGAGGCAAUGUCCAACCUUGAAUCUUUUUUUUUUUUUUUUUUUUUGAGACAGAGUCUCACUCUGUAGUCCAGAUGCCCAGGCUGGUGUGCAGUAGCGAGAUCUUGGCUCACUGCAACCUCUGCCUCCCGGGGUUAAGAGAUUCUUGUGCCUCAGCCUCCCAAAUAGGUGGAACUACAGGUGUGUGCCAGCAUAUCUGGCUAAUUUUUGUAUACUUAGUAGAGAUGAGGUUUCACCAUGUUGGCCAGGCUGGUCUCGAUUGCCUGACCUCAGGUGAUCCACCUGCCUCGGCCUCCCAAAGUGCUGGGAUUACAGGUGUGAGCCACUGCACCUGGCCUCGACCUUGAAUCUCUCUGUGCACCUUUCAUGGAUUUGCAAACUUGCCCAGGGUCCUGUGGCCCCAGCCGUGGUUCUCAGUUGGAGGUGAACCUGCCUCCAGUAUGCUGGGCUGGCCUGGGCAUCCCUGACUGGAGAAUGUACCUGUCAUGGGGCAGGGGACAUACAGACAAAGGAGAAGGCAAAGGGACUCCUCAAGAAUCCAUUUCCUCAGGGAUCUGGAAGGGAGAAUGAAAGUCAUAGAAUUGGCCAAUCAUUAAAAACUUCUCUUUUUACAUUAAAACAAACUUAUUAAUAUAAUAGAAAGCAGAAUUUACUUGUGUUAAAAAAAUAUAGCUAAGGUAUGCGGGGCUUAAUACCUAGGUGAUUGGUUGAUAGGUGCAGCAAACCACCAUGGCACACGUUUACUUAUGAAACAAACUUGCACGUCCUGCACAUGUAUCCCAGAACUUAAAAUUCAAUUAAAAAAAAAAAAACACACAAGGCAUGAGAUAAUUGAGGGGGAGGAGGUGGCUGGUGCCCAUGUGGAUGGGCGGCGGCGGGGCUUCACUAUUGGCUUCUGCUCAUAGGAUCCAGAGGUGCAGCUUGAGAGGAACUGGCUUAUCCUUAGCAAGCCAGGCGUCUGGCCCAUGGUUAGGGCUCAGUAAACCUUUGUGACAUUUGAGUUGGUUUUAAAAAUAAUUCUGGUAAAAUAUACAUAGCAUACAAUUUAUUAUUUUAAACUUUAUUUUUUUUUUGUGAUGAGAUCUCGCUCUGUUGCCCAGGCUGGAGUAAAGUGGCACAAUCAUAGCUCACUGUAACCUUGAACUCCUGGGCUUAAGUGAUCUUCCUGCCUCAGGACCCUGAGUAACUGGGACUACAGGCCCAAGCCACUGUGCCUGGCUAAUUUUUUAAUUUUUUUUUUUUUGUAGAGAUGGGGUCUUGCUAUGUUGCCUAGGCUGGUCUUGAACUCCUGACCUCAAGUGAUGCUCUCACCCUGGCCUCCUAAAGUGCUAGGAUUACAGGCCAUUUCAACUAUUUUUUGUUUGUUUGUUUGUUUUGGUUUUUGAGACGGAGUCUGGCUGUGUCGCCCAGGCUGGAGUGCAGUGGUGCGAUCCCGGCUCACUGCAACCUCUGCCUCCUGGGUUCAAGCGAUUCUCCUGCCUCAGACUCCCAAGUAGCUGGGACUACAGGCAUGCGCCACCACACCUGGCUAAUUUUUGUACUUUUAGUAGAGAUGGGAUUUCACCAUGUUGGCCAGGCUGGUCUGGAAUUCCUGACCUCAGGUGAUCUGCUCGCUUCGGCCUCCCAAAGCGCUGGGAUUACAGGCGUGAGUCACCGCGCCCAGCAUUUCAACAAUUUUUUAAGUGUACAGUUCAUUGGCACUAAGUUCUUGAGUUUUAAGAGUGGAUUCUGGGCUGGGCGCGGUGGCUUGUGCCUGUAAUCCCAGCACUUUGGGAGGCCGAGGCGGGCGGAUCAUGGGUCAGGAGAUCGAGACCAUCCUGGCCAACAUGGUGAAACCCUGUCUCUACUAAAAUACAAAAAAAUUAGCUGGAUGUGGUGGCACUUGCCUGUAGUCCCAGCUACUCGGGAGGCGGAGGCAGGGGAAUUGCUUGAACCCGGGAGGUGGACGUUGCAGUGAGUCAAGAUUAUGCCACUGCACUCCAGCCUGGCGACAGAGCGAGACUCUGUCUCAAAAAAAAAAAAAAAAAAAAAAAAGUGCAUUCUGGAAGAUUCAGGAACCUGACUGAACAAAAUGACUCUUGCCUUUUGAUGGCUUUUUACACCUGCAAAGUACUUUCCCACCUAGACCUCACAAUUUCGUGAGGCAGGUGUCAUUAUCUCCAUUUUGUAGAUGAGAAAAACAACACCGAGAGAGGGUGAGGUUGACCCAGGCCCACAUAGCACCUAAAAUGAUUGAAUUUUGUGGUUGAAUUUUGACAGAGGAUGUAUCUGUGAGAAAAAACAUCUGUUAUAGCAGAAAACUCUCAAACGACCUAGUUUAAAUAAGAUAUAAAGUGCUUUCUGUCUCACAUCAGAGGAGGCUGGGGUUAGGAGGUUCAGGAGAGGUAUGCUGGCCUGGAUUGUCACUGGGAAACCAAGGCUUCUUCAGCUCUGCACUGGCCCAUCCUAAGGCUGCUGCCCUUAUCCUCCUUAUCCAGGGUGGCUGCUGGAGGUCCCGCCUUCAUGCCUGAAGUCCGGCCAGUAGGAAGGAGCAAAGAGAGGGAGCCCUGUCCUUUGAGGGAGACUUCCCAGAGUUCCCACACAUUGCUUGUGCUGACAUCUUGGGCAAAUGACCACAUGACCACACCUGGCUUGCAAAGAGGCUGGGAAAUGUAGCUGUUUAACAAGAAUACUGACAAAAAGCAAGGUUUUGUUUCUGAGGCAGGAGGGAAAAGAAGGUGGGCAAACAGCAGUUUCUACACUAGACAGGGGAAAGACGUGGGAUUCUAAGGAACCUUCACCUUAAAUUACUUCAUUUACUUACUAUAUACUAUUUUUUUUUCUUGUAUACAGAGUCUCACUCUGUCACCCCGGCUGGAGUGCAGUGGUGCUAUCUCGGCUCACUGCAACCUCUCCUUCCCAGGUUCAAGUGAUUCUUGUGCCUCAGCCUCCCAGGUAGCUGUGAUUACAGGUGCUUGCCACCACAUCCUGCUAAAUUUUUUUUGCAUUUUUUAGUAGAGACAGGGUUUCGCCAUGUUGGCCAGGCUGGUCUGGAACUCCUGGACUCAAGUGAUCCACCGGCCUUGGCCUCCCAAAGUGCUGGAGUUAGGGCAUGAGCCACCGCGCCCGGCCACCAUACACUUAAAGUUAAAUGGGUGCCAGAGGUGAGUGAACAGGUAGGAGACGUGAACUCGCCCUCUUGUGAGAGCAGUAGCUGUGAUCUCACUAGGCACUCUCUGGCCAGACACAUUAUUUCUUUUUAUUUUAUUCCUUUCUUUUUUUGCAUUCCUUAUUUCAUUCAUCUUAAUUUUCCCUGAAUCUCUUAGUUUUUCUUCUCCUGUUGUCUUUUUGUUUUAAAAAAAUGAGUAUAGAAUACAUACAGCAAAGUGUAUCUAGUAGGCUAAUAUUAAAUGCAUAGUGAUACAUUUUUGCAUAGGUUUGCACCCAUGGGACCCCUACUGGGAUCAUGGAGAAGGUGUCUGAUUCACUUUAUGAGAAACUGCCAACAAACUCAAAGUGAGAUAGUACUUUAUCCUUACUAGGAUGGUUACAAUUAAAAGGACACGGUCAGUGUUGGAGGGGAUGUGGAAAAAUCAGAACCUUCGCGCACUGCUGGUGGGAAUGUGAAAUGGUUUGCUUGCUUUAGAAAACAGUCUGGCAGUUUCUUUUGGGGGUGAUGGUUGCACAACUCUGUAAAUUUACUAAAAACCAUUGAAUUAUAUACUUUAAAUGAGUGAAUUUUGUGGCAUGUAACUUAUAUCUCAUUAAAGGUGUUAAAAUCCUGCCAAACCAUUUUCCAGAGUGGCUGUACCAUUUUUGCAUUCGUAUGAGAGUUCCAGUUCUACAUCCUUGUCUGCGCUUAGCAUUGUCGGUAUUUAAUCUAGCCAUUCUAACAGAUGUGCAGUGGUAUCUCACCAUGGUUUUAAAUAUCAUUUCCCUAACAGUUGAUAAUAUUGAACAUCUUUUCAUGUGCUUGUUUGCCAUCCAC
RNAcentral lists this long non-coding RNA (6136 nucleotides) under Homo sapiens (human). RNAcentral's name for it is "HSALNT0401740". Lineage: Eukaryota; Metazoa; Chordata; Mammalia; Primates; Hominidae. The record is from RNAcentral.